GACCCCAUGGUCUAGAGGCCUAGGACAUCACCCUUUCAAGGUGGUAACCCGGGUUCGAAUCCCGGUGGGGUCACCA
This 76-nucleotide transfer RNA is filed under the name Sulfobacillus sp. RNAcentral describes it as "tRNA-Glu". It matches the Rfam family "tRNA". Rfam says of the family: Transfer RNA (tRNA) molecules are approximately 80 nucleotides in length. Their secondary structure includes four short double-helical elements and three loops (D, anti-codon, and T loops). Lineage: Bacteria; Bacillati; Bacillota; Clostridia; Eubacteriales; Clostridiales Family XVII. Incertae Sedis. RNAcentral also lists the same sequence under 5 other names. The record is from RNAcentral.